This 1533-nucleotide long non-coding RNA is filed under the name Monodelphis domestica (gray short-tailed opossum). RNAcentral's name for it is "lncRNA (ENSMODG00000049577.1)". The record is from RNAcentral. Lineage: Eukaryota; Metazoa; Chordata; Mammalia; Didelphimorphia; Didelphidae.
CCUUCACAUAGUAAUCACUUGUUAAAUCGUUUCAGUAAUGUCUGACUCUUCAUGGUCCUGUGUGGAGUUUCUUUUGGCAAAGAUAAUAGAGUGGUUUACCAUUUCCUUCUCCCAAUCGUUUUACAAAUAAGGAACUGAGGCAAAAAUGGUUAAGUCAUUUGUCAAGGGUCUCAGCUAGUAAAGAGUCAGGCUGGAUUUGAAUUCAUGAAGAGUCUUCCUGAUUCUGAACCCAGUGCUGAACCCACCAUACCACCUACUUACUUAAGUGAUUAAGAAAUCACUUAGUAAACUGACUGACUGAAAGGAUAAGAGUUAAGAAUGACUAUGAGGUUCCAAAUCCGGCAUUGUUAAAGGAACUUGGAACACUCAAUAGCAAAAGGGAAGCAUCAGUAAGGGCUAAGUUAUGUGGGUUAACCUGGAUCAGAAAUAAUAAAUAAUAUUUUGGACAUAUUGAAUUGAAGAUGACUAUGGAACUUUAAUAGAUAGUUGAUGAUGUGAGGCUUUACUCAGGAGAAAGAUCAGAAUUUGAAGAGGAAGGCAUUGUUAUUACAAUGAUAAAUGAACUCAUUCUAGGUGGUUUUUAAACUGGGCUUGAAGUCAGAGAAACUAAUGAAAGAAGUGAAGGGAGAGAUUAUUCCAGGCAUGGAGAAGAGCCAGUACAAAGAAAUAUACUACAUUUAGAAAAUGAUAAAUUCAGUAGUCAUACUUCUCAACAAGAGAUUAAACAUUUUGCUUUGGAAGGAGAUUUUGACAUUUGGAAACAUCAGAGGGAUUAACAGAGUGAUAUGGAAGAAGAGUGCAGUGAGACCCAGAAAGAAGAAUUUAGUAUUUCAGAGAAGACAUAGUAGAGUAAAGUCAAAUGAAGAAAACUUGUCAUACCUUUCAUUUUAACUCUUUCUGGUCCAAUCUGCAUGUUACAUUCUCAUCAUAUUCUAAGCGACUUCGUGUAGCUGCACUUACAAGGGAUGGAUGUUUGAAUGGGGAAUUAGAGUUUAUGAAGAAUGUUGAACUCUUUAUAGAGAAAGAGUGCUGCUUUCCCAGGGCCCCAAGACAGUUACCAUCAGUUUUGCCAAUCACACAUCCUGCAGAUGCAUGUCCAAAAUGGGUGUUUAGAGACAAGUUAAUUCAAUCAUUAGACAUUUCACACCAGCAACAUUGUCACAAGAUGAGAUAAUUACAAGGGAUUCAUGAUGACAAAGACUCUCCACCAUCACAGAAGGAAAUGAUGGAGUCUGAAUGAAGAUUAAAGUAUAACAUUCAUCAUUUUAUUUAACUGAGAAUUUUUUCUAGCAUAAGCAAUUUGUGUCUUCUUUCAUAUGACAAACAAGGAAAUAUUUAUUGUAUGAUAACAUGGGUACAAUCUAUAUUGCACUACCUGCUGUCUUGAGGAGUACAGAGAGAUGAAAGGAAGGGAGAGAAAAGAACAUGGAUUACAAAAUGUCAGAAAACUAACUAUUGUUGAAAAUUAUAUUUAUAUUAUGUGGAAAAGCUUAGUUAAUUAAUUUUAAAAUAAAUUUAUAAUGUUAUUCCUCA